CAGCAGCCACGGGAAUACGUAGGUGGCAAGCGCUGUCCGGAAUUAUUGGGCGUAAAGGGCUCGCAGGCGGUUUCUUAAGUCUGAUGUGAAAGCCCCCGGCUCAACCGGGGAGGGUCAUUGGAAACUGGGAAACUUGAGUGCAGAAGAGGAGAGUGGAAUUCCACGUGUAGCGGUGAAAUGCGUAGAGAUGUGGAGGAACACCAGUGGCGAAGGCGACUCUCUGGUCUGUAACUGACGCUGAGGAGCGAAAGCGUGGGGAGCGAACAGGAUUAGAUACCCCUGUAGUCCCUGUCUCUUAUAC
Molecule: ribosomal RNA, 301 nt
Filed under: uncultured bacterium
Lineage: Bacteria
Description: partial 16S ribosomal RNA
Rfam family: Bacterial small subunit ribosomal RNA
Source: RNAcentral